Molecule: non-coding RNA, 28 nt
Filed under: Mus musculus (house mouse)
Lineage: Eukaryota; Metazoa; Chordata; Mammalia; Rodentia; Muridae
Source: RNAcentral
UGGACUAUUCGAAUGGAGUGCUCUCUUC